CUCCAUUCCUACAACAAAAACUCAAUUCAAUACAUGAAUUCGAUGCUCAAAACAUCCGAGGACCUCUAGGGAGAGAGUAGAGAGAGAGGAAAAACCAAAUGAAAUCCUAGAGAGAGAGGUAGUGAUAGAGAGGUAGAAGAGGUGCUGAAAACUUCAGCCCCCCAUCUCUAUCUAUAGGUGCGGACAAAAGACUAAAUUACCCCUAUAGCUACUACUAAAUAACGACCCACGCACAGGCAUUUUGGUCCAAGUUUUUGUGCGCUCAUCGGACGAACACACCUCCUUCACGACUUCACUUCGCCUCAAUGCAGGCUAUGCGAUGAUACCACAUGCCCUCCUUCUCGAAGCUCCGGCCGCACCGGGCUCACCCCCUGUGGUGGAACCGCCCAACUUAAGCUGGUUUAAGUGCGCUUAAUCGCUGUCGGAACAGCAAUUAUCCGAAACGCACCUAAAACAGCAUAAGUCCGGUAGUCCGUUGAGUGUCCCUAGGACUCCUCGAAGGAUCCACGACGUGUCUCAUAGCCAUACAUCAGGAUAAUAUCCGCGAUGGGAUAACAUCAACAAAUAUUACAUUUUUAAAGACAUAACAAAGGUACGAUAUAUUACAACCAUAGUUUGAAACAACUUAAUCAUGCAGAUCAGCGUGGUUCUUAAGAAUUUAAAAAUAAACAUUUAAGUUUUAUUCUAGAGUAUCAUGAGACUCAUAAGAUACCCUAGGUCUUCGGGGCUUCCUCUUCGGUGGGUCCCUGCUAGCUUUCUGAAAACAACAACAAGGGAUCCCCUGAGUACGAAGUACUAAGCAAGUCUUACCCGACUAACCAAUAUAAUAGUUUUCUUUGGAAUGUAUGUCAGCCUUUGGGUGUGCUUGGUUGACACAAUUUUUGCCGAAAAGCUUACUACGAGUGAGGCCUUAGUUUUAUCUUUUAUUUUAGUUAAGUCAUUACCUAACCAUUCUAGAUGAUAAUAGAAGUAAAAGCAACCACAGCUGUUAAGUCAUACAUUACUUGACAACAGGAGAUUUUAUAUUGCAUGAGUUGAUACUACGAUGCUCAACAGUGAUCAAGUGCAUUCAUAACCGAGAAUUGCGGCGAUCCGGAUCUAAUUACAUCCUGCAGGAGAGUACCCCGAUCACCAGCAUUAUACGACUGUUCCGGUCGUAUCUCACAACCUCUCGAUUAGCAAAGUCAAUGAUUAGGAAUACAACUACCCGGACCCAGGGAUGCACCCCCACAUGGGACCCCACGUCUGGCCUGAUCUCCAUGUGAGUUUCAGGCUACACCCCUGCCAAUCUCCAGCACGUCAAAUGCGGGUACGAAGCAUUCCUGAUCAUAGAAUUUACUAAUCUACUGGGCUUUACUGGUCCCAUACCCAGUAAGUGAUCAGAUGUUAUCACUUGAUCAGCGGUUAAGACACGAAUCGGGCCUUAACCAGAUUAAUCUAGCAGUAUUCAUAUUCCAGACUAUCCUUCAUAAGCAACAUGUAUGACUUAAGAGUUUUCCUUAAGGUUGGUAAACCAAUCACGUAAGCAAGUAAGCAAUUCUAGACUUGGGUAGUUUCUAGGAUUUGAACAAGUGGCAAAGAUAUCCUUAAAUCAAGGCAUGAUCAUACACAAGAAUAGGUUUCAUCCAACUCCUAGACUUAGUGCAUACAAUAAACAAAUAACCUAUAACUAGUCACAUGAAAUGACGACUCUAAAAAUAGAUAGGUAUAAAUGCACCGGGGCUUGCCUGGGAUCAACAAGGUUAGUUCUUCGGAAAACUUGUUUACUGAAAGAGGCACUCCACACUUCGCGAAUGCUGUCCAUCUCCGGCUGAAUUCCAUGAAUUUCCCACUUCAGGAGUUGUGACGUCUACGAUCCAGUAUAUGCAAGAGUUAGAGAUGCAAAUUUUUGAAUACAAGACUAUACAACUUUCCUUCAUGAUAAAGUUGCAAGCCAACAAGGACUAUACAAUUUAUCAUGAUAAAGUUGCAAGCCAACACACAAAAGCCCUAAAGAUUAGCCCACCAUUUUUAUUUCUUUUACUAAACCUACCUUAGACCUCUUCUUUUAUUUUUUAAAAGCAUUAUACUAAUUUUCUAAUCUCAAAAACCUAAUUCCUAUGAAUUAAUAAUAAUUUGUGGAUAAUAAAGCAUUUUCAAGUUUUAUAUAUUUAAUAAAGUUUAAGCAUUUAUUUAAAUACCUUACACAAAAAGGCAUUAAAUAAAUACCUAAAUUUUUAUUAUUUUUCCUAGGGUUUAAGAAUUUUAAUGCAUAAAGGAAAAUAAAACAAUCCUAAUAAAAUUGGUUUCACUAAUUUUGGACACUUUUAGAAUUUCCUGGGAAUUAAAUGGUGAAAGCAGCAUUUAAUCUAUUUAUCUAACAAAGAAAACCUAAGGUUUAAUUAAAACCUCCGGCCCAAACUUUUCUCACCCAACUUGCUUCUACCCACUAUCACUUCCACCUAGGGCCCAUCUGGUUUCCUAUUCUCCUUCUUCUUUUCUUCCUUGACAAGUGGGGCCCACGGCCGAAACCUUCCCUUGGGCCGAAAAGUGGCCCGCCAACUUUUAACCCGUGACGCGUGGGCCUCUAUUCGGCAGCCUCCUCUUUGGGCCGGCUCCCCCUUUUCCUCUCUUUCUCAAUCCCGGCCGGCCCAUCUCUUCUUUUUCUUUUUCUAUCUCCGACAAUCGGCCUGCUUAAUCCGGCCCACGGCCUUUCUUUCCUCCGCCGGCCCCCUUCUUCUUUUCCACUUCACCUGGGCCGCACGGCCCACUUUCCUUUCAGGCCAAAAGUUAACCCACCGGCUCUCCCUUCUUCCUUUACCCGCACGGGCUAACUGGGCUGUCGCCUCCCCUUGGCCCAAGACGGCGCUGGCCCUCUUUUCUUUUUCUCCUACUCCCACCUGGGCCUCCUCCACCGGGACUUGGCCUCCCGGCCCAAGUUCACCGACGGCCUGCUUCCCUUCUCUUAUUACGUUGCGCAGCUAGCUGGGCCGGUACCCUUCCUUUGGCCCAAGACGGAUGGCCGGCUCUUAUCUCCCUUGCGCCCCCCCCCCUCUUUUCCUUGUGGCUGGCAUGUGGGCCUCCUUGGUCAGGGGCAUCUUCCUCCCCUGGCCAAGAACAGAGGCGCGCCGGACUGGUGGGGGCUCGCCGGCCGGCGGCUCGCCGGCGACGGGGUCGGGCCGGGGAGGGACCCCCAGGCCGCGACACACCCGUGGGCGGCGGCGGCGCUCCGGGAGGUGGCCGGAGAUGGCCCCUCCACGGCGGCGACGGCUCAGCCGGCCGUUGGCCAUGGCGGCGUAUGUUGGCGGCGCAAAACAGCUUCCACAACUCCCCCUACGGCUUCCACACUCUUGCAGGACGCCCCUAGGCCCGUUAAUUGAGAAGAAACAGCCCGGUUUAGCAACUUACCUCGCGGAUUGGGUGACGGCGGCCGGCGGACCGGUAUGGCGGCGACUCGGAGCUCAACAGCGAGAAGCUGGGCAACGGAGCAGCGUGGGGCGUUGAGGAGGAGCUUGCGGAACCUCGGGUGGGUGGAAUCGCAAGGAGAAGCGGCGGCGUGGGUGAAUCGGUCGGCGGCGACACUGAUUUGCUUGAACUCGGUUCUCACGGCAGAAGAGCAAAACGGCAGAGAUUAACUGGAUGAGGGCGAGGAGGUACCAAUACGAACUUUCACCGUGCAUGCGUGCCACCUCGACAACCUGAACGAGCGCGGACGUGGCCGUGUGCUGGCCGGUGCUUCGGAAUGCCGGCGGCGGCACGACUCUUCUGUCGCCUCUGUUAUGCUGUUCUGCUUUCUUUUCUCUUCUCAAUCUACAUGUUCAGGCCGCAAAAUUGGCAAAUCCGAACCCAAUCUCUCGAACAUUCCUUAAGCAAUCUUGUAGAUUAAUCCGAGCACUUCAAUUGAUAGAUGGGCCUCUACCCGAGAUGAGCACCCUAACAUCUAGAUUUUUGGAGCUCCAAGUUCGGCCAGGGCCUUCUGUAACUGAACCCUGUCGAUUCAGUUUCGACAGUCUUCAAAAUGUGGUCAUUUACCCUUCUUUAGCACCAAUUUCAGUAGCUCAAUUGUAUUCCAUAUAGGCCAACCACUCCCUAUUUGUGUUCUAAAACUAAUAAGGAUUCCAUUUUGCACCAGAAACCAUAUAGCCUUUGCACUGGAUUUUCCUGAAAAUUGCUCCAAACAUUGCUAGUUAACACUGUCUCAGACUUAGAAUUUACGCAGCUCGAGAGUUGGCCGAAAUAGCUAGAGUGCUGACUUUGAGUUCUGAUUUAAAUUUGAUUCUUUCGCUAUCUCUGAGCAACAACACUUUAUUAAACAUGUCCAAGGAUCAUACUUCACCGCUGUCUAGUUGCCUUUGCUCACUUACUUGAAAAAUUGGGCAGAAUUCGGUUUCAAACAUAGAUACUCGUCAUGUUUUCCAGACCUAGACUUAAUUCGGCAAGGAGCUCGAAAUCUGCUCAAUUGCUGACUUUUGGCUCCAAUUUGAAUUCAAACCUUCCACUUUCUCUGGACAACAACUAUUCAUUUACUUUCUCCAUAGUCCAUAUUACACUAAUGUCCAAAAACAUCUGCUCACUUUUAAGGAAAUUUCUCCAGAAAUUGGUCCUAAAGUCAGGUACUCAAUACCAUUUUCAGACUUAACCAAAAAUUCAGCAAAGCUGCCGAUUGUGACAAAGCGCCAACUUUAGGCCUCCAUUUGAAAUGGUUCCCUCUGCUAUUCCUGAUCAACACCACCCAAAUUUUGGAGUCCCAAGUUCAUACUUCAACAUGGUAUAGUUGUCCUGAUUUACUUAUUUGAGAAAUUCAUCAGAAUUCAAUUCCCAAAAUGGACUCUGGACUGUUUUUCUGAUUUCUUGUUUUCGGACGGUGAAUAGUAAACGUAGCUUUUCAUUUCCUUCUCCGAUUUCUUUUGAGCGUUUAGGAUCAAAUAUUACUCCAAAUUUUUGACCCUUAAGUUCUAAUCAUCUUUACACUCCCACUCUAUAUUUUCGCCGAAUUUUUCUGAAUUUCAAAUUCAAAAUUCAAAUUUCGGCCAAAUUUGACCCGAAUUUGAUUUUCGGUCAAUUCCUUUUUCUUUUCUUCUCGAAUCGCUUUCAAUUCUUCAAAGUCACUUUGAUGACUAAAAAUGGCGGGUGUUACAGCCUCCCCCCCUUAACAGAAUCUCGUCCCGAGAUUCCCGGGGUUAAAUCCUCGGUUUUGAGAAUGGAAAGGAAACUGUCUCAGACAUCAUAUUUUCUCUUGUCUGUAUAAGGAAAGGGAGGUGGUGGCUUUGGUUCAUCUGACACUAACAGUUUCAAAUAACUUAAAAUAUUUAGACUCUAGGUCUUCAGUCUGUUCCAAGUAGCUUUAUCUGGAGCACGAUUCUCUCAGGGCACCUUGUAAAAUCUGAUACUCUUAGUUCGAGUAUGGAGGGUCUUUCGAUCCAGAAUUUUUAUACGGACAAAUAUAUAUCGGAGAAAAUUUUUCCUUUGACUCCAACCCGGUGUAUUCCUUUCAUCGGAGAUACUCCGAAAUGUACAAAGUCCCAAAAUAAAAUUCCAAAGAUCCUCUUUUUGUAUCCGAAUAACCUCUCUGUCAGGACUAAGCUAUUUCAAGGUUCGUACAAUUCUUCUGAACUUUUUCCUCAACUUUAAUUGACUAGAUCUGGUUCUAAAGGUACUCUUUCUCUUGAUUCUGACCAAAUUAAAAGCAACCAUUCUUCCCAUUUUUUGCUAGAAGUAAACAUUCAUCCCACUUCUUCGAGAAGGUGAGAAUACAGGUUCGAAGCAUAUCUUUUUCUGUCUAACCAGACAUCCUUUGUUCUUAAUAAGGGUAGUUCCCAUUGUCCCAUACAUUUGUUCCCAGAAUUCAGAGAUGAAAUUGAGAACCUCAAUUUAAGACAAUUGUCUUGGGUAUUCCAUGCGACGAUACUACCAUAAAAUCCAUGGAAAUGUCUUCCUACUUCCAUUUAGGAAUGGUGAAGGUUGCAAUAUGUCGACCGAUUUCUGAUAUAUAGUUUUCACUUUUGACACGUAUCACAUUCAGAUACAUUCUUGGCUAUUUCCCUUUUCAUUCUUAUCCACCAAAAUCAUUGCUUCAUGUAUUAAUACAUCUUAAUACUCCCCGGGUGCAUAAAGAAUCUUGAUAACAAGCUUCAUCUAAGAUGAUUUUCUCAAGCCCAUCUUCUUGAGUAUUAUUAUUCAAUUUUUGAUAUAGAACACCUUCUUUUCAUCCUGGUAAAACAAGUAACAUUACUUUUAGCUUACUCAUUUCCGAAGUAUUCUCAUUCCUUUGUCCUUCUUCUGAGCUUGUUCUGCUUCUUUCUUUAAAAUAUCUUACAAGAUGAGGUUAUGCAGUGUACAUUAGUUUUGUUCGGAUGAUACAAUUUCUAGUUUAUAGUCUUGGAUUAGUUUCAGCCAUCUUAUGCCUCAUAUUCAGAUCUGACUUUGAUAGCGUUCGGCCAUUUUUAAGAAAACUUCUUACUUCCUGAACAGUUGUGGGCGAUUCAUGUCCUUAACUUUUUCAGGAUCCACUUCAAUUCCUUUCUUGGACCAAACAUGCCUAAUGAACGGAACCUUCUUUAACCAAAACUCACACUUACUAGACUUGGCAUAUAGUUGAUGCUCCGGAAUCUAUCCAAAACAAUGCGCAAAUGCUCCGCAUAUUCUCCUUAUUCUUAUUGUCAAAACCUUUGUUUCAAAGCUUGAUACAUCUUACUGUUCUCAGGAUUCCGUGCAAAUUCAACCUUUUAGAAACUUGUUAAUAUCCAUAUAAUGCUCACGUCCCUUCCUUCUAGUUAAGGAACUUUUUUUUGAAUAGACUUUUGACCCGAUCCUUGGCGUGAAAUUUGAGCCUUCUCAUCCAUAAUUUCCCCUUUACUGUGGAAAAUGAAGAACUCGGGUGAAACCAGUUCCUCCAUAGUUAUGUUAUAAUAUAGCUGUAGAAUUGCAAAGAUAGUGGUGCUUUAACCUUUCAGGUAUUCAUGGGUUUGUCGAACAGGGAGUAUUAUCUGAGUUCUGGAUAACCCAUGGCUGCCACGAUAAUUGUCAUUGGGGCCGAUAAGUAGAUCUAGCAGGUUCCUAGUAGACAACCUUUCAACUCCUGAGGAAUACUUUUAAAUGCUUCAAAAGAAAUGUCCUCUUAUUCCAAGGAUUCCUCCCUUCCAAGGGGUUUGUCUAAAGCUCUUAUCUUUCCUGGGGAUUACUAUGUUCAUGGCAGAGCUAUGAUCUGUAAAAGUACUUGGGAGCAAUUCCUUUUCUCAGACUUAGGGUUCAUAUGUUCGGAAGCAUAUUGUGCCAGAUGAUCAAUUGUACUUAGAUACUUCCGAACAAUCUUGUGUCCCUGCUAAACUUUUUUUUUUUAAAGUUGUUCUAGCUGCACUCUUAUAAUCCUUUUUAGCAGAAACUAGGUACAAAUAAUUGUCUUGAAAUCUUCCCAAGCUAUCUCCUUUCUGACGGAUCGCCUAACCAGAUAGUUGGUCCAUCAUGUGCCUGUGGGACCUUGGAGUUAAUGUCCUGCAAACUCAACCUUUUGAGUUUCCGUACAUCGAAGAAUCACACACGUAUCCACAUAUAAUGUUUGGAUUUACGUGUAAUUCUACAAAAAUUUGUCUUAUGUUCAUAUAGUGAUCAGGGCUGACAUGUGCAGGAAAAUGCCACUCUUAGUAGCUUUAACAAGCAUGAGUAGACUGCGUUAUCUUCCUCCAAACCUGCUCCAGAAAACUCCUGGCAUUCUUUUUAGAGUUGAACAUCAAGGAUAUGAAGUAUCUGGUUUGGAAGAUUCUUCUCGAUAAUAGUUAAUAAUGCUUAUUCCAUCGCAGAACACAAGAUCUGCUAGCUUUCUCCCUGUUAGUGUCUCUGCCAGCAAUACUCUAAAAUUGUACACAUCUCCUCAGAGCUUUUACAUUCUGACAUAAAACUCCCAUCGGUGCCUUAUAUGUUUGUGUCAAAAAUCUUCACAGCCAACAACCCGGUCUUACCUGGAUUAGUUUUCCUCCGUAAACUGAACCAUAGCUUCCUUUCCUAAUCAAAGACUCUGGGAAAUUCUCAGUAACCUGAACUCAAUCCUUGUAGAAAAAUUUUCAGAAGUUCUUACUAGAAAAAAAAAACCAACUGUGAUUACAUUAUGAAGGACUUUCUCCAUGGAAGUAUAAGGCAUCACGAUAAUAUGAAUAGUGCCACGAGACCAACAAUGGGGAUAUAUUUUAACCCAAAACUUUUAAUCUUGCUGUCUGCAAAGGAACAACAUCGCACGCGGGUAUAUGCAGCUCACAUACUCCGUCGCAAAGACCUUGAUUCCCUUUAGUGUAAUAACUGUAACCUUUUUGAAAUACUCGGCACUCUUCCCAGGAGAUGAUUGCGGGACGAAUUUAGCGGACUGAGAGCUUGUAGAUCACAUAGAGCAGCUGGGAUAGUAUCUAUCCAAUUGUUGUGUGAAAGGUUAAGAAUAGUGUCUUCCCAAAAGUUGGUGGUUUUGAUACUGCUUCAAUUCCCAAUAACCACGUUAAUUCCCUAUAUUUUGAAUAUCCCUGCUCAGCAGUCUAGCUUGCUUAGCUCUUGAAUUCAUAAGACUAGCAAUAACAUUAACCCGGGUAAGAAUUUAUGGUGGCUCUACAUCACGGAUUCUGACCCGGAUUAAAUGUAUCCACUUGGGUCCGACAUUCUGGGGUUACAAAAAUCCAACAGACCGAAACUCAUUGAACUUCCUCUGGUUCUUUAAUAUCAUUAUUCCCUGCAUCUCGCAAACCUUGGUAUAUGUUUCUCUUAAACAACCCCCUCAACAUUGUCCUUAGCUAACAGUUGAUUAGGUUCCAUAUGACUUUUUCUAAAUUCUCUUCCAUUUUCCACACCAAGACUAUCCAGAUUCUCACAAACAUGCAGAUCUACUUUUUAAGAUGCCAGUUCAUUUAUACCCAUUUCGUUAUCCACAAUAUCCUCCUUUCCUUUUACUACAACCGGGACGAACAGAUGUUGCCUUGGUUUCCAUGGUUUUUUUGAUAUAUCUCUGAGGCAUCCGGAUCAAUAGAUUCCUGGGCUUGUGUCAAUUGACCUCAUAUUUAUCCAAUUUCUUUCACCACUUUUCUCAUAUCUUUUCCCAUAUUACGAUCUCGUGCAAGAGCUGCCUUCUUGCUUAUAUCGAAAUCAUAUGGAGUAUCUUUUCCCCUCCUCCUUGAAUCUUCAUUCCUUUCUUCCUAAUAAUAUUACUGGAACGGGCAUGUUGAUGAAGAGUAGGUAUCGAAGUCUUUUAAUUUCAUGAAGUGAUCGCAGUAACGUCGUGCUCCAUUUGAGAAAAUCCUUUAAACCUUUAUACAAUGCUUCCAAUACUAUGGUCCUGAUUUCUGAUCCCAUAACUCUUGUCAGACUGGAUCCAAUUUAUUCCUUAUUCUUCUCACACCUGAUAGUUUAAGUUGUCCUAAUUGCUUAUCCAAAUAAGGUUUGGUGUCCAUCCGUCUGUCUUGAUCUUCUCUUCUGCAGUUCUCUGUUGCAUCGACCCCCUUACUACGUUUAGCUCCUAUUACACGGGACGGGUUUAGGUCUAACGGCACUCUCCAAACCCAAAAGUUUUGAAACAUGCAAUGCACACAUGAUGCAACGAUUCCUACGUACUUUCAGACUCAUAUACACACUCGUAGAAAAAUUGGUGGCAUCGUAAUCUCUCCCUAAAUAAUAGACUACCGAAUACUAGCGACACACAGCAAACAGUUAGCAUCUGCAAAAUAAACAACCAGUUAACACUACUGCCACCUGUGACUCACAUUUUCUUAAUUUAAAAUAGAGUCUCAAUUUUUAAAUAGUAAUAUCUGUUGAUUAUCCCAACCUACGGCUCUGAUACCAGCUGUGGCGGAACCGCCCAACUUAAGCUGGUUUAAGUGCACUUAAUCGCUGUCGGAACAGCAAUUAUCCGAAACGCACCUAAAACAGCAUAAGUCCGGUAGUCCGUCGAGUGUCCCUAGGACUCCUCGAAGGAUCCACGACGUGUCUCAUAGCCAUACAUCAGGAUAAUAUCCGCGAUGGGAUAACAUCAACAAAUAUUACAUUUUUAAAGACAUAACAAAGGUACGAUAUAUUACAACCAUAGUUUGAAACAACUUAAUCAUGCAGGUCAGCGUGGUUCUUAAGAAUUUAAAAAUAAACAUUUAAGUUUUAUUCUAGAGUAUCAUGAGACUCAUAAGAUACCCUAGGUCGUCGGGGCUUCCUCUUCGGUGGGUCCCUGCUGGCUUUCUGAAAACAACAACAAGGGAUCCCCUGAGUACGAAGUACUCAGCAAGUCUUACCCGACUAACCAAUAUAAUAGUUUUCUUUGGAAUGUAUGUCAGCCUUUGGGUGUGCUUGGUUGACACAAUUUUUGCCGAAAAGCUUACUACGAGUGAGGCCUUAGUUUUAUCUUUUAUUUUAGUUAAGUCAUUACCUAACCAUUCUAGAUGAUAACAGAAGUAAAAGCAACCACAGCUGUUAAGUCAUACAUUACUUGACAACAGGAGAUUUUAUAUUGCAUGAGUUGAUACUACGAUGCUCAACAGUGAUCAAGUGCAUUCAUAACCGAGAAUUGCGGCGAUCCGGAUCUAAUUACAUCCUGCAGGAGAGUACCCCGAUCACCAGCAUUAUACGACUGUUCCGGUCGUAUCUCACAACCUCUCGAUUAGCAAAGUCAAUGAUUAGGAAUACAACUACCCGGACCCAAGGAUGCACCCCCACAUGGGACCCCACGUCUGGCCUGAUCUCCAUGUGAGUUUCAGGCUACACCCCUGCCAAUCUCCAGCACGUCAAAUGCGGGUACGAAGCAUUCCUGAUCAUAGAAUUUACUAAUCUACUGGGCUUUACUGGUCCCAUACCCAGUAAGUGAUCAGAUGUUAUCACUUGAUCAGCGGUUAAGACACGAAUCGGGCCUUAACCAGAUUAAUCUAGCAGAUAGAACUACAUCUCUAGCUUCUGUCCGUAUUCAUAUUCCAGACUAUCCUUCAUAAGCAACAUGUAUGACUUAAGAGUUUUCCUUAAGGUUGGUAAACCAAUCACGUAAGCAAGUAAGCAAUUCUAGACUUGGGUAGUUUCUAGGAUUUGAACAAGUGGCAAAGAUGUCCUUAAAUCAAGGCAUGAUCAUACACAAGAAUAGGUUUCAUCCAACUCCUAGACUUAGUGCAUACAAUAAACAAAUAACCUAUAACUAGUCACAUGAAAUGACGACUCUAAAAAUAGAUAGGUAUAAAUGCACCGGGGCUUGCCUGGGAUCAACAAGGUUAGUUCUUCGGAAAACUUGUUUACUGAAAGAGGCACUCCACACUUCGCGAAUGCUGUCCAUCUCCGGCUGAAUUCCAUGAAUUUCCCACUUCAGGAGUUGUGACGUCUACGAUCCAGUAUAUGCAAGAGUUAGAGAUGCAAAUUUUUGAAUACAAGACUAUACAACUUUCCUUCAUGAUAAAGUUGCAAGCCAACAAGGACUAUACAAUUUAUCAUGAUAAAGUUGCAAGCCAACACACAAAAGCCCUAAAGAUUAGCCCACCAUUUUUAUUUCUUUUACUAAACCUACCUUAGACCUCUUCUUUUAAUUUUUAAAAGCAUUAUACUAAUUUUCUAAUCUCAAAAACCUAAUUCCUAUGAAUUAAUAAUAAUUUGUGGAUAAUAAAGCAUUUUCAAGUUUUAUAUAUUUAAUAAAGUUUAAGCAUUUAUUUAAAUACCUUACACAAAAAGGCAUUAAAUAAAUACCUAAAUUUUUAUUAUUUUUCCUAGGGUUUAAGAAUUUUAAUGCAUAAAGGAAAAUAAAACAAUCCUAAUAAAAUUGGUUUCACUAAUUUUGGACACUUUUAGAAUUUCCUGGGAAUUAAAUGGUGAAAGCAGCAUUUAAUCUAUUAAUCUAACAAAGAAAACCUAAGGUUUAAUUAAAACCUCCGGCCCAAACUUUUCUCACCCAACUUGCUUCUACCCACUAUCACUUCCACCUAGGGCCCAUCUGGUUUCCUAUUCUCCUUCUUCUUUUCUUCCUUGACAAGUGGGGCCCACGGCCGAAACCUUCCCUUGGGCCGAAAAGUGGCCCGCCAACUUUUAACCCGUGACGCGUGGGCCUCUAUUCGGCAGCCUCCUCUUUGGGCCGGCUCCCCCUUCUCCUCUCUUUCUCAGUCCCGGCCGGCCCAUCUCUUCUUUUUCUUUUUCUAUCUCCGACAAUCGGCCUGCUUAAUCCGGCCCACGGCCUUUCUUUCCUCCGCCGGCCCCCUUCUUCUUUUCCACUUCACCUGGGCUGCACGGCCCACUUUCCUUUCAGGCCAAAAGUUAACCCACCGGCUCUCCCUUCUUCCUUUACCCGCACGGGCUAACUGGGCUGUCGCCUCCCCUUGGCCCAAGACGGCGUUGGCCCUCUUUUCUUUUUCUCCUACUCCCACCUGGGCCUCCUCCACCGGGACUUGGCCUCCCGGCCCAAGUUCACCGACGGCCUGCUUCCCUUCUCUUAUUACGUUGCGCAGCUAGCUGGGCCGGUACCCUUCCUUUGGCCCAAGACGGAUGGCCGGCUCUUAUCUCCCUUGCGCCCCCCCCCUCUUUUCCUUGUGGCUGGCAUGUGGGCCUCCUUUGUCAGGGGCAUCUUCCUCCCCUGGCCAAGAACAGAGGCGCGCCGGACCGGUGGGGGCUCGCCGGCCGGCGGCUCGCCGGCGACGGGGUCGGGCCGGGAAGGGACCCCCAGGCCGCGACACACCCGUGGGCGGCGGCGGCGCUCCGGGAGGUGGCCGGAGAUGGCCCCUCCACGGCGGCGGCGGCUCGGCCGGCCGUUGGCCAUGGCGGCGUAUGUUGGCGGCGCAAACGGCUUCCACAACUCACCCUACGGCUUCCACACUCUUGCAGGACGCCCCUAGGCCCGUUAAUUGAGAAGAAACAGCCGGUUUAGCAGCUUACCUCGCGGAUUGGGUGACGGCGGCCAGCGGACCGGUAUGGCGGCGACUCGGAGCUCAACAGUGAGAAGCUGGGCAACGGAGCAGCGUGGGGCGUUGAGGAGGAGCUUGCGGAACCUCGGGUGGGUGGAAUCGCAAGGAGAAGCGGCGGCGUGGGUGAAUCGGUCGGCGGCGACACUGAUUUGCUUGAACUCGGUUCUCACGGCAGAAGAGCAAAACGGCAGAGGAUUAACUGGAUGAGGGCGAGGAGGUAGCAAUACGAACUUUCACCGUGCAUGCGUGCCACCUCGACAACCUGAACGAGCGCGGACGUGGCCGUGUGCUGGC
This 13154-nucleotide long non-coding RNA is filed under the name Setaria italica (foxtail millet). RNAcentral describes it as "long non-coding RNA (SITA_LNC002477)". Lineage: Eukaryota; Viridiplantae; Streptophyta; Magnoliopsida; Poales; Poaceae. The record is from RNAcentral.